RNAcentral lists this ribosomal RNA (497 nucleotides) under uncultured bacterium. RNAcentral describes it as "partial 16S ribosomal RNA". It matches the Rfam family "Bacterial small subunit ribosomal RNA", at positions 28 to 507 of the family's 1533-position model. The record is from RNAcentral.
GAUGAACGCUGGCGGCGUGCCUAAUACAUGCAAGUCGAGCGAACGGACGAGAAGCUUGCUUCUCUGACGUUAGCGGCGGACGGGUGAGUAACACGUGGAUAACCUACCUAUAAGACUGGGAUCACUUCGGGAAACCGGCGCUAAUCCCGUAUAAUAUUUUGAACCGCAUGGUUCAAUAGUGAAAGACGGUCUUGCUGUCACUUAUCGAUGGAUCCGCGCUGCAUUAGCUGGUUGGUAAGGUAACGGCUUACCAAGGCAAGGAUGCGUAGCCGACCUGAGAGGGUGAUCGGCCACACUGGAGCUGAGACACGGACCAGGCGCCUACGAGAGGCAGCAGUAGGGAAUCUGCCGCAAUGGGCGAAAGCCUGACGGAGCAGCGCCGCGUGUGUGAUGAAGGUCUUCGGAGCGGAAAACUCUGUUAUGAGUGAAGAACAGAUGUGUAAGGAAAUGUGCAGAUAGUGACGGUACCUAAUCAGAAAGCCACGGCUAACUACGUG